This is a non-coding RNA of Picea glauca (white spruce), 109 nucleotides long. The record is from Rfam. NCBI's taxonomy places the organism in Eukaryota, Viridiplantae, Streptophyta, Pinopsida, Pinales, Pinaceae.
UAAAACAUAGUGUCAAUGCACCAGGUCCUAUUAGAACUCCGCAGUUAAGCACACUUAGGCUAGAGUAGUACUGGGAUGGGUGACUACCCGGGAAGUCCUAGUGUUUUAC